GAUUAAGUUAUUAAGGGCGCACGGUGGAUGCCUUGGCACUAGAAGCCGACGAAGGACGUUACUAACGACGAUAUGCUUUGGGUAGCUGUAAGUAAGCGUUGAUCCAGAGAUUUCCGAAUGGGGGAACCCAGCACGAGUUAUGUCGUGUUAUCGACAAGUGAAUUCAUAGCUUGUCAGAAGGCAGACCCGGAGAACUGAAACAUCUUAGUACCCGGAGGAAGAGAAAGAAAAAUCGAUUCCCUGAGUAGCGGCGAGCGAAACGGGAAGAGCCCAAACCAAUAAGCUUGCUUAUUGGGGUUGUAGGACACUCUAUACGGAGUUACAAAGGAAUAUAUUAGACGAAUCAUCUGGAAAGUUGAAUCAAAGAAGGUAAUAAUCCUGUAGUUGAAAAUAUAUUCUCUCUUGAGUGGAUCCUGAGUACGACGGAGCACGUGAAAUUCCGUCGGAAUCUGGGAGGACCAUCUCCUAAGGCUAAAUACUCUCUAGUGACCGAUAGUGAACCAGUACCGUGAGGGAAAGGUGAAAAGUACCCCGGAAGGGGAGUGAAAGAGAACUUGAAACCGUGUGCUUACAAGUAGUCAGAGCCCGUUAAUGGGUGAUGGCGUGCCUUUUGUAGAAUGAACCGGCGAGUUACGAUCUGAUGCAAGGUUAAGCAGGAGAUGUGGAGCCGUAGCGAAAGCGAGUCUGAAUAGGGCGUUGAGUAUUUGGUCGUAGACCCGAAACCAGGUGAUCUACCCAUGGUCAGGUUGAAGUUCAGGUAACACUGAAUGGAGGACCGAACCGACUUACGUUGAAAAGUGAGCGGAUGAACUGUGGGUAGCGGAGAAAUUCCAAUCGAACUUGGAGAUAGCUGGUUCUCUCCGAAAUAGCUUUAGGGCUAGCCUCAAGUGAUGAUUAUUGGAGGUAGAGCACUGUUUGGACGAGGGGCCCCUCUCGGGUUACCGAAUUCAGACAAACUCCGAAUGCCAAUUAAUUUAACUUGGGAGUCAGAACAUGGGUGAUAAGGUCCGUGUUCGAAAGGGAAACAGCCCAGACCACCAGCUAAGGUCCCAAAAUAUAUGUUAAGUGGAAAAGGAUGUGGCGUUGCCCAGACAACUAGGAUGUUGGCUUAGAAGCAGCCAUCAUUUAAAGAGUGCGUAAUAGCUCACUAGUCGAGUGACACUGCGCCGAAAAUGUACCGGGGCUAAACAUAUUACCGAAGCUGUGGAUUGUCCGUAGGACAAUGGUAGGAGAGCGUUCUAAGGGCGUUGAAGCAUGAUCGCAAGGACAUGUGGAGCGCUUAGAAGUGAGAAUGCCGGUGUGAGUAGCGAAAGACGGGUGAGAAUCCCGUCCACCGAUUGACUAAGGUUUCCAGAGGAAGGCUCGUCCGCUCUGGGUUAGUCGGGUCCUAAGCUGAGGCCGACAGGCGUAGGCGAUGGAUAACAGGUUGAUAUUCCUGUACCACCUAGCAUCGUUUUAAUCGAUGGGGGGACGCAGUAGGAUAGGCGAAGCGUACGAUUGGAUUGUACGUCCAAGCAGUGAGAUUGAGUGUUAGGCAAAUCCGGCACUCUUAAGAUUGAGCUGUGAUGGGGAGAGGAAAUUGUUUCCUCGAGUCGUUGAUUUCACACUGCCGAGAAAAGCCUCUAGAUAGAUAAUAGGUGCCCGUACCGCAAACCGACACAGGUAGUCAAGAUGAGAAUUCUAAGGUGAGCGAGCGAACUCUCGUUAAGGAACUCGGCAAAAUGACCCCGUAACUUCGGGAGAAGGGGUGCUCUUUAGGGUGCAAGCCCAGAAGAGCCGCAGUGAAUAGGCCCAAGCGACUGUUUAUCAAAAACACAGGUCUCUGCUAAACCGUAAGGUGAUGUAUAGGGGCUGACGCCUGCCCGGUGCUGGAAGGUUAAGAGGAGUAGUUAGCUUCUGCGAAGCUACGAAUCGAAGCCCCAGUAAACGGCGGCCGUAACUAUAACGGUCCUAAGGUAGCGAAAUUCCUUGUCGGGUAAGUUCCGACCCGCACGAAAGGCGUAACGAUUUGGGCACUGUCUCAACGAGAGACUCGGUGAAAUCAUAGUACCUGUGAAGAUGCAGGUUACCCGCGACAGGACGGAAAGACCCCGUGGAGCUUUACUGUAGCCUGAUAUUGAAAUUCGGCACAGCUUGUACAGGAUAGGUAGGAGCCUUUGAAACGUGAGCGCUAGCUUACGUGGAGGCGCUGGUGGGAUACUACCCUAGCUGUGUUGGCUUUCUAACCCGCACCACUUAUCGUGGUGGGAGACAGUGUCAGACGGGCAGUUUGACUGGGGCGGUCGCCUCCUAAAAGGUAACGGAGGCGCUCAAAGGUUCCCUCAGAAUGGUUGGAAAUCAUUCAUAGAGUGUAAAGGCAUAAGGGAGCUUGACUGCGAGACCUACAAGUCGAGCAGGGUCGAAAGACGGACUUAGUGAUCCGGUGGUUCCGCAUGGAAGGGCCAUCGCUCAACGGAUAAAAGCUACCCCGGGGAUAACAGGCUUAUCUCCCCCAAGAGUUCACAUCGACGGGGAGGUUUGGCACCUCGAUGUCGGCUCAUCGCAUCCUGGGGCUGUAGUCGGUCCCAAGGGUUGGGCUGUUCGCCCAUUAAAGCGGUACGCGAGCUGGGUUCAGAACGUCGUGAGACAGUUCGGUCCCUAUCCGUCGUGGGCGUAGGAAAUUUGAGAGGAGCUGUCCUUAGUACGAGAGGACCGGGAUGGACAUACCUCUGGUGUACCAGUUGUCGUGCCAACGGCAUAGCUGGGUAGCUAUGUAUGGACGGGAUAAGUGCUGAAAGCAUCUAAGCAUGAAGCCCCCCUCAAGAUGAGAUUUCCCAACUUCGGUUAUAAGAUCCCUCAAAGAUGAUGAGGUUAAUAGGUUCGAGGUGGAAGCGUGGUGACACGUGGAGCUGACGAAUACUAAUCGAUUGAAGACUUAAUCAA
Staphylococcus haemolyticus JCSC1435 is the source of this 2922-nucleotide ribosomal RNA. It matches the Rfam family "Bacterial large subunit ribosomal RNA". The record is from Rfam. Lineage: Bacteria; Bacillati; Bacillota; Bacilli; Caryophanales; Staphylococcaceae.